This 218-nucleotide ribosomal RNA is filed under the name uncultured bacterium. RNAcentral describes it as "partial 16S ribosomal RNA". It matches the Rfam family "Bacterial small subunit ribosomal RNA", at positions 328 to 539 of the family's 1533-position model. The record is from RNAcentral.
ACGCUCGACACCUACUGGAGGCAGCAGUGAGGAAUAUUGGUCAAUGGGCGCUAGCCUGAACCAGCCAAGUAGCGUGAAGGAUGAAGGCUCUAUGGGUCGUAAACUUCUUUUAUAUAAGAAUAAAGUGCAGUAUGUAUACUGUUUUGUAUGUAUUAUAUGAAUAAGGAUCGGCUAACUCCGUGCCACAGCCGCGGUAAUCUGAGCGGGCUGGCAAGGCG